AUUAUACAUACUCGAAACAGAAAGAGAGCGAGAGAGAAAGAGAAAGAGAGAGAGACAAGAGGGAGAGAGAGGAGACAGUUUAUGAGAUAUCUAUAGUCACGAAGAGACAGAGUUUAUUAUAUGCGCGUCGUCUGACUCUCUCUAUAUGUUCGCGGCCACUUAUCUGUACGGUCCGCGUACACGAUAGAAGCCCCGAUCAUUCUCAAGCAUUUCAACAAGCCGGAGGAGAGGAUCUCUAUCCGAAGAUAGAGAGAGAAAGAGAGAGAGAGAGAAAAAGAGAGAUUUCCUUGGAAAGGAAAAUCUCCUUGUUGAUAAAACGGUACCUCAAGCCCCGCCCUUUUUUUGUUCUUUUGAACCCACCCGUCAUCCGGAACACACCCGCACCACCCCGUUUCAAUCGGCUCCACGAACCAGGACAGCGAAGUACCUGCAGACACAGAUAUAUUUAUAGCAAUUAAUAUUAACGAUAAUUUAUGCGCGACCCGACACACCGCGGCCGGGGAUCGCGGCUACGACAACCGGUGUUCUACAACGCCACCGGCGAACGGCGAGGAGAGUGAUUAACAUUUGCGUACGCACGCGCGAGAGAGUAUUCGUCGAUCGAGUGCAUCGCGAAGAGAGAAGAGGAGAGAACGGAAGUGCCGAACGCUUGAUAAUUCUAGGCGACGGACGGUUGGGACGCACUUUCUGCCUCGUGGCUCGUCUACUCGCCGGUGCCCUUGUUCCACAGACACCAGGUGAGUGCCGAAUCAACUUCCAUCGAAUCACUUUUUCUGGCUAAUCAAGCAACCGUAAGUCCGAUAAAUCAUAGCACAUUAUCACCAGACUGUGAAGUUCCAUGCGAAACAAGAGUUUGCUAAUUUAUACGAAAACUGUAAUAAGUAGACCGCCGAUAUUUAUGCAGAACAAACAUUUCGCGCGUCGAUUGCUACGAACGAGAACUUCAUAGACAUUCAUUUCUCUUUUGAAUGAUUUAAUAUAAUAAUAAUAUAAUAAUAAUAUGAUUAAUUAAAUAAUAUAAACAAUAUAAUAUAACAUAA
Non-coding RNA from Megalopta genalis, 1040 nucleotides. The record is from RefSeq and is a predicted model, not a curated record. NCBI's taxonomy places the organism in Eukaryota, Metazoa, Arthropoda, Insecta, Hymenoptera, Halictidae.